UACGUAGGUGGCAAGCGUUGUCCGGAUUUACUGGGCGUAAAGAGCGCGCAGGCGGUCGUUCAAGUCGCGUGUGAAAGCCCCCGGCUCAACUGGGGAGGGUCACGCGAUACUGAUCGACUCGAAGGCAGGAGAGGGUAGUGGAAUUCCCGGUGUAGUGGUGAAAUGCGCAGAUAUCAGGAGGAACACCGGUGGCGAAGGCGGGUCUCUGGGCCGAUACUGACGCUGAGGAGCGAAAGCGUGGGUAGCAAACAGG
This 253-nucleotide ribosomal RNA is filed under the name uncultured bacterium. Its description in RNAcentral is "partial 16S ribosomal RNA". It matches the Rfam family "Bacterial small subunit ribosomal RNA", at positions 524 to 776 of the family's 1533-position model. The record is from RNAcentral.